UCUCCGUUGGUGAACCUGGGGAGGGAUCAUUACUGAGCGAGGGUUUAACCGCCCGACCUCCAACCCUUUGUCAAUCGUACUCGUGGCUUCGGGGGCGACCCUGCCGUCCGCGGCUGAGCGCCCCCGGGGUCAAUCAAACACUGCAUUCUCUGCGUCGGAGUAUUAGUAAAUCUAAUCAAAACUUUCAACAACGGAUCUCUUGGCUCUCGCAUCGAUGAAGAACGCAGC
RNAcentral lists this unclassified non-coding RNA (228 nucleotides) under uncultured fungus. RNAcentral describes it as "sequence contains ITS1, 5.8S rRNA gene". The stretch from base 180 to 228 matches the Rfam family "5.8S ribosomal RNA", at positions 1 to 49 of the family's 154-position model. The record is from RNAcentral. Lineage: Eukaryota; Fungi.